Molecule: long non-coding RNA, 960 nt
Filed under: Homo sapiens (human)
Lineage: Eukaryota; Metazoa; Chordata; Mammalia; Primates; Hominidae
Description: cancer susceptibility 19
Source: RNAcentral
AGGCUGUGGCUUGCCUUUUCACUUCUUGUGUCCUGUUUAAGAAAUAUCUGCUAUCCCAAGAUUGCAAACUCCUAGAGAAGGGCUCAACAGUGAGUGCUGAGGCUGCACAGAGGAGGAAGGCAGCACAAUGAUGGAAGGCUUCCUAAAGAGAUAACACUAACAAAGUUGACCUUAGAAUUGGAGUGCCUGGGUUAGAACCCUGCUGGUACCACCUGCUUACUGCAUGCUUCUGAUGUGAGUUCAGGAGAAGACACUGGCAAGGACAGCAAAGAACAGGAGAACACUCUAGCUUCCCUGAUAGCAUUCAAGGUGCUGUCCAAAGCUCUUGAGUUUCUGCUUUCAAGUGACCCUCAGAAAUUCCUCCAUUCACUGCAGAGGUUCUGUUUCUCCUUGCUUUGUUCUGACUUUACGGCAGAACUAAGCUAAUGAGUUAGUUACUAUGGGUUAUCACUUGGAUUUGAAGAACCAUCAUUUCUAGGCAUUGCUGCUCAGAGUGGGUCUGCCCUCAGGGGAAGCUGUCUAACCAGAGCCUAACCCACUAGGGUUUUAUCAGAACCUAACUGACCUGAGGAAAAGAAAUACUCAACUCCAGCAAGCUCCAGCCUUCCAAAUGGAGGAGGAGAAAACCCAACUCCAGCCCACUUCAGCUAUCUUGUCCCACAUAAAGGGGAAGUGGAAGAAACCUGAGAAGCAGGCAUGAAGUUCACAGUCCAGAGGUACAGACACAUCAGAGUUCAGUAUCUGAUGAAUUAGAUGCAAAAACCUCAACAAAGUAUUAGCAAAUUGAAUUCAACAAUGUAUGAAAAUUAUUACAUGCCAUGACUAAUUGGAAUUUAUCUCAGGUAUACAAGCCACGCUGAACAUCUGAAAAUCAAUUCAUGUGAUCCAUCACAUUAGCAGACUCAAGAAAAAAAACCACAUUAUCAUAUCAGUAGAUGUAGAAAAAAAAAAUUAACAAAA